UCCCUGGUGGUCCAGUGGUUAAGAAUCUGCAUUGUUAAUGCAGGGGACCCAGGUUUGAUCCCUGGUCAGGGAA
Ovis aries (sheep) is the source of this 73-nucleotide transfer RNA. It matches the Rfam family "tRNA". From Rfam's summary of the family: Transfer RNA (tRNA) molecules are approximately 80 nucleotides in length. Their secondary structure includes four short double-helical elements and three loops (D, anti-codon, and T loops). The record is from Rfam. Lineage: Eukaryota; Metazoa; Chordata; Mammalia; Artiodactyla; Bovidae.